GGAGCUCGAGACAUAUUCGGCAGUCCUGGCAAAGGCGCAGAUCAUAGAAAGGAGCUUCGACACCCGCCCUCAGCUAACGGGAAGUUCCCGACCUUCAGCCCCGCUCCGCAGGCCAGCGCCUACCAUGCCUGUCCAACCCAGUAAGAGACCCAGGCCUGCCGUUCAGGGCCCUCCUCAGGUUAUGGGGGCAGCUCGUGGGAAGAUCUGCCAGUACUGCGGUAGGGAUCAUGGGGACCGACCCUGCUACCGCCUCAACAACACCUGUCGCAUAUGCGGCAGUGCCCAGCACUAUGCGAGGGAGUGCCCUAGGAACCAGAAUCAAGGGAGG
Molecule: long non-coding RNA, 328 nt
Filed under: Carica papaya (papaya)
Lineage: Eukaryota; Viridiplantae; Streptophyta; Magnoliopsida; Brassicales; Caricaceae
Description: long non-coding RNA (CPAP_LNC014422)
Source: RNAcentral